GAGGAUGUAGCUCAAUAGUAGAGCAUUUGGCUAGUAUAUAAAAAGCCCCAAGCCCCAACCUCA
RNAcentral lists this transfer RNA (63 nucleotides) under Neotoma lepida (desert woodrat). It matches the Rfam family "tRNA". Rfam says of the family: Transfer RNA (tRNA) molecules are approximately 80 nucleotides in length. The record is from Rfam by way of RNAcentral. Lineage: Eukaryota; Metazoa; Chordata; Mammalia; Rodentia; Cricetidae.